GUUUUCAUAAUUUAAUUAAAAUAUUAGUCUUGUAAACUAAAAAUAAGAUAACCUUUGAAAACA
RNAcentral lists this transfer RNA (63 nucleotides) under Tenebrio obscurus (dark mealworm). RNAcentral's name for it is "tRNA-Thr". It matches the Rfam family "tRNA". Rfam says of the family: Transfer RNA (tRNA) molecules are approximately 80 nucleotides in length. Their secondary structure includes four short double-helical elements and three loops (D, anti-codon, and T loops). Further hydrogen bonds mediate the characteristic L-shaped molecular structure. tRNAs have two regions of fundamental functional importance: the anti-codon, which is responsible for specific mRNA codon recognition, and the 3' end, to which the tRNAs corresponding amino acid is attached (by aminoacyl-tRNA synthetases). tRNAs cope with the degeneracy of the genetic code in two manners: having more than one tRNA (with a specific anti-codon) for a particular amino acid; and 'wobble' base-pairing, i.e. permitting non-standard base-pairing at the 3rd anti-codon position. The record is from RNAcentral. Lineage: Eukaryota; Metazoa; Arthropoda; Insecta; Coleoptera; Tenebrionidae.